RNAcentral lists this small nuclear RNA (311 nucleotides) under Mus pahari (shrew mouse). RNAcentral describes it as "sRNA (MGP_PahariEiJ_G0008325.1)". The stretch from base 1 to 271 matches the Rfam family "7SK RNA". From Rfam's summary of the family: 7SK was discovered as an abundant small nuclear RNA in the mid-70s but a possible function has only recently been suggested. Two independent studies have found that 7SK RNA binds the CDK9/cyclin T complex (known as elongation factor P-TEFb). The record is from RNAcentral. Lineage: Eukaryota; Metazoa; Chordata; Mammalia; Rodentia; Muridae.
UGAUCUGGUUUUGACAGUGGCCACCCUAUUAAUCACCAGGAUUGAUUUGGCUGGUCUGGUUGACUAGGUGGGCAUUAGUGCUCCCCACAUGCCCCUCCCAAAGGUGAGUGCUCCACGGAAGAAAAUAGCCCUUCUCAAUAAAGGAGGGUGACUUUUUGUUGCAGGGUGUACAAAUAGCUGUGCUCCCCAGCCACAGCCUACAAACAAGCUCAUAAGAGACAAUGUUUAAAACCUUCAGCCAGGCUGGGCGUGGUGGUGCGUACCUUUAAUCCCAGCACUCGGGAGGCAGAGGCAGGCAGAUUUCUGAGUUC